Molecule: ribosomal RNA, 301 nt
Filed under: uncultured bacterium
Lineage: Bacteria
Description: partial 16S ribosomal RNA
Rfam family: Bacterial small subunit ribosomal RNA
Source: RNAcentral
CAGCCGCCGCGGGAAUACGUAGGGUGCAAGCGUUAAUCGGAAUUACUGGGCGUAAAGCGUGCGCAGGCGGUUAUAUAAGACAGAUGUGAAAUCCCCGGGCUCAACCUGGGAACUGCAUUUGUGACUGUAUAGCUAGAGUACGGCAGAGGGGGAUGGAAUUCCGCGUGUAGCAGUGAAAUGCGUAGAUAUGCGGAGGAACACCGAUGGCGAAGGCAAUCCCCUGGGCCUGUACUGACGCUCAUGCACGAAAGCGUGGGGAGCAAACAGGAUUAGAGACCCCAGUAGUCCCUGUCUCUUAUAA